This 532-nucleotide long non-coding RNA is filed under the name Prunus persica (peach). RNAcentral describes it as "long non-coding RNA (PPER_LNC003366)". Lineage: Eukaryota; Viridiplantae; Streptophyta; Magnoliopsida; Rosales; Rosaceae. The record is from RNAcentral.
UCUUUGUGGUGAAUCUGAAUGUGUGUAUGAGAGUAAUGGAUGAAGUGAAUGUGUGUGUCUCCUCUCCCCCCUUGAAUGAGUGUGCAACUCUCUAUUUAUAGAGUGCAAUUUCGUGCUCCCCUUUGGCUGGUGAAGCACACCUCUCUUAGCUGCUCCCAACUGCUCCAGCUGCCCAUACUUGCCAACUGCUCCAGCUGACAAAUACAUGCUUUGGUAUGGUUUCUCUAUGGAAAGCUUGACUUUUGUUCAUCUUUCUGAGCUUCUGAGCUUAUUUGACUCCCAUGUGUGGCUGCCCAUGUGUAGCACAUGGGUCUAGGGAUGUAGCCACAUUAAAUCUGAUGGCAGCCAACAUGACAUUUCUGUGAACUUGGUUCAGUCUUUGACGUGUUGAGGGCUCCAGAUUUAUCCAAGUGGGCUGAAAUUUGGAUAUGUUAUAAUAGACACCUAUUGGAACAACGUUUAUGAAGGAUGUCUCCUCAUCCGACCUCUGUAAGUUACUGAAAUGCGGCCUGCAAGAUGACCUACGAAACUG